RNAcentral lists this ribosomal RNA (78 nucleotides) under Actinomadura rubrisoli. Its description in RNAcentral is "Actinomadura sp. H3C3 partial 23S ribosomal RNA". Lineage: Bacteria; Bacillati; Actinomycetota; Actinomycetes; Streptosporangiales; Thermomonosporaceae. The record is from RNAcentral.
UUGUGUGUUCAAGUUUUUAAGGGCAUACGGUGGAUGCCUUGGCAUCAGGAGCCGAUGAAGGACGUGGGAGCCUGCGAU